RNAcentral lists this ribosomal RNA (440 nucleotides) under uncultured bacterium. RNAcentral's name for it is "partial 16S ribosomal RNA". It matches the Rfam family "Bacterial small subunit ribosomal RNA", at positions 338 to 795 of the family's 1533-position model. The record is from RNAcentral.
CCUACGGGUGGCAGCAGUGGGGGAUAUUGCACAAUGGGGGAAACCCUGAUGCAGCGACGCCGCGUGAGUGAAGAAGUAUUUCGGUAUGUAAAGCUCUAUCAGCAGGGAAGAAAAUGACAGUACCUGACCAAGAAGCCCCGGCUAACUAGGAGACAGCAGCCGCGGUAAUACGUAGGGGGCAAGCGUUAUCCGGAUUUACUGGGGGUAAAGGGAGCGUAGACGGUUAUGUAAGUCUGGAGUGAAAGCCCGGGGCCCAACCCCGGGCCUGCUUGGGACACUGUGUAACUGGUGUACAGGAGGGGCAGGCGGAUUUCCUGGUGUAGCGGUUCACUUCGUAGAUAUCAGGAGGAACACCGGCGGCGCAGGCGGCCUGCUGGACUGAAACUGACGUUGAGGCUCGACAGCGUGGGGAGCAAACAGGAUUAGAUACCCCGGUAGUC